UGGGGAAUAUUGCACAAUGGGCGCAAGCCUGAUGCAGCAACGCCGCGUGAGGGACGACGGCCUUCGGGUUGUAAACCUCUUUUAGUAGGGAAGAAGCGAAAGUGACGGUACCUGCAGAAAAAGCACCGGCUAACUACGUGCCAGCAGCCGCGGUAAUACGUAGGGUGCAAGCGUUGUCCGGAAUUAUUGGGCGUAAAGAGCUCGUAGGCGGUUUGUCGCGUCUGCUGUGAAAACCCGAGGCUCAACCUCGGGCCUGCAGUGGGUACGGGCAGACUAGAGUGCGGUAGGGGAGAUUGGAAUUCCUGGUGUAGCGGUGGAAUGCGCAGAUAUCAGGAGGAACACCAAUGGGCGAAAGGGCAGAUCUCUGGGCCGUAACUGACGCUGAGGAGCGAAAGCAUGGGGAGCGAACAGGAUUAGAUACCCUGGUAGUCCAUGCCGUAAACGUUGGGAACUAGAUGUGGGGACCAUUCCACGGUCUCCGUGUCGCAGCUAACG
Molecule: ribosomal RNA, 495 nt
Filed under: uncultured Actinomycetes bacterium
Lineage: Bacteria; Bacillati; Actinomycetota; Actinomycetes
Description: bacterial SSU rRNA
Rfam family: Bacterial small subunit ribosomal RNA
Source: RNAcentral